This 72-nucleotide transfer RNA is filed under the name Perkinsus olseni. RNAcentral's name for it is "tRNA-Gly". It matches the Rfam family "tRNA". From Rfam's summary of the family: Transfer RNA (tRNA) molecules are approximately 80 nucleotides in length. Their secondary structure includes four short double-helical elements and three loops (D, anti-codon, and T loops). The record is from RNAcentral. Lineage: Eukaryota; Perkinsozoa; Perkinsida; Perkinsidae.
GCACCCUUGGUCUAAUGGUUAGGAUAUCUGCCUUCCAAGCAGAUGGUCCGGGUUCAAUUCCCGGACGGUGCA